UACGUAGGGUGCGAGCGUUAAUCGGAAUUACUGGGCGUAAAGCGUGCGCAGGCGGUUUUGUAAGCCAGAUGUGAAAGCCCCGGGCUCAACCUGGGAAUGGCAUUUGGGACUGCAAGGCUGGAGUUUGGCAGAGGAGACUGGAAUUCCUGGUGUAGCAGUGAAAUGCGUAGAUAUCUGGAGGAACAUCCGUGGCGAAGGCGACUACCUGGACCAGCACUGACACUGAGGCACGAAAGCGUGGGGAGCAAACAGG
This 253-nucleotide ribosomal RNA is filed under the name uncultured bacterium. RNAcentral describes it as "partial 16S ribosomal RNA". It matches the Rfam family "Bacterial small subunit ribosomal RNA", at positions 524 to 776 of the family's 1533-position model. The record is from RNAcentral.